RNAcentral lists this ribosomal RNA (496 nucleotides) under uncultured bacterium. Its description in RNAcentral is "partial 16S ribosomal RNA". It matches the Rfam family "Bacterial small subunit ribosomal RNA", at positions 899 to 1397 of the family's 1533-position model. The record is from RNAcentral.
ACUCAAAUGAAUAGACGGGGGCCCGCACAAGCGGCGGAGCAUGCUGCUUAAUUCGAUGCGACGCGAAGAACCUUACCUGGGCUUGACAUGCAGGGUGAAACCGGUGAAAGCCGGCGCUCUUCGGAGCCUGCACAGGUGGUGCAUGGCUGUCGUCAGCUCGUGCCGUGAGGUGUUGCCUUAAGUGGCGCAACGAGCGCAACCCCUGUCCUUAGUUGCCAGCGGAUAAUGCCGGGAACUCUAGGGAGACUGCCGGUGCCAAACCGGAGGAAGGUGGGGAUGACGUCAAGUCAUCAUGCCCCUUAUGUCCAGGGCUGCAAGCAUGCUACAAUGCGCGGUACAAAGGGCGGCGAUCCCGUGAGGGGGAGCGAAUCCCAGAAAGCCGCGCUCAGUUCGGAUCGAGGUCUGCAACCCGACCUCGUGAAGUCGGAGUCGCUAGUAAUCGCAGAUCAGCACUGCUGCGGUGAAUACGUUCCCGGGCCUUGCACACACCGCCCGU